Molecule: ribosomal RNA, 492 nt
Filed under: uncultured bacterium
Lineage: Bacteria
Description: partial 16S ribosomal RNA
Rfam family: Bacterial small subunit ribosomal RNA
Source: RNAcentral
AGUGAACGCUGGCGGUAGGCCUAACACAUGCAAGUCGAACGGCAGCACAGUAAGAGCUUGCUCUUACGGGUUGCGAGUGGCGGACGGGUGAGGAAUACAUCGGAAUCUACUUUUUCGUGGGGGAUAACGUAGGGAAACUUACGCUAAUACCGCAUACGACCUACGGGUGAAAGCAGGGGAUCUUCUGACCUUGCGCGAUUGAAUGAGCCGCUGUCGGAUUAGCUAGUUGGCGGGGUAAAGGCCCACCAAGGCGGCGAUCCGUAGCUUGUCUGAGAGGAUGGUUGCCCACCUGGGAACUUGGCCACCGACCAUGCUACUAAGGGACGGAGCAGACGGGAAUAUUGGGCAGCAGGGGGAAAUCUUAACCAAGCAGCGCAGGCCGGAUGAAGAAGCCUUCCGGGUGGGAAGCCGUUUUGUUGGGAAAGAAAAGCAGCAGGUUAAUACCAAGCUGUUCUGACGGUACCCAAAGAAUAAGCACCGGCUAACUUCGUG